UGCAGUCGAACGGUAACAUAUCUUGCUUGCAAGAUGAUGACGAGUGGCGGACGGGUGAGUAAAGCCUGGGAAUUUGCCUUUGCGAGGGGGAUAACCAUUGGAAACGAUGGCUAAUACCGCAUGAUAGCUACGGCUCAAAGUGGGGGCUUAUGGUCCUUGCGCGCAAAGAGAAGCCCAGGUGAGAUUAGCUAGUUGGUGAGGUGAAGGCUCACCAAGGCGACGAUCUCUAGCUGUUCUGAGAGGAAGAUCAGCCACACUGGGACUGAGACACGGCCCAGACUCCUACGGGAGGCAGCAGUGGGGAAUAUUGCACAAUGGGGGGAACCCUGAUGCAGCCAUGCCGCGUGUGUGAAGAAGGCCUUCGGGUUGUAAAGCACUUUCAGUGGUGAGGAAGGGCGUUUGGUUAAUACCCAAACGCAUUGACGUUAACUACAGAAGAAGCACCGGCUAACUCCGUGCCAGCAGCCGCGGUAAUACGGAGGGUGCGAGCGUUAAUCGGAAUUACUGGGCGUAAAGCGCACGCAGGCGGUGAUUUAAGCUAGAUGUGAAAGCCCCGCGCUUAACGUGGGAUGGUCAUUUAGAACUGGGUCACUAGAGUAUUGGAGAGGGGAGUGGAAUUUCUGGUGUAGCGGUGAAAUGCGUAGAUAUCANAANGAACAUCANUGGCNAANNCNACUCUCUGGCUGAUUACUGACGCUCAUGUGCGAAAGUGUGGGUAGCGAACAGGANNAGAUACCCUGGUAGUCCACACUGUANACNCUGUCNACUANCUGUUUGANGCUNUAAGUAUUGAGUANCGAAGCUAACGCGCU
Molecule: ribosomal RNA, 812 nt
Filed under: uncultured bacterium
Lineage: Bacteria
Description: bacterial SSU rRNA
Rfam family: Bacterial small subunit ribosomal RNA
Source: RNAcentral